AUACGGAGGAUGCGAGCGUUAUCCGGAUUUAUUGGGUUUAAAGGGUGCGCAGGCGGGCGAUUAAGUCAGCGGUGAAAGGCUCGGGCUCAACCGGAGCAGUGCCGUUGAUACUGGUUGUCUUGAAUGCGGUCAAGGCCGGCGGAAUGUGGCGUGUAGCGGGGAAAUGCAUAGAUAUGCCGCAGAACACCAAUAGCGAAGGCAGCUGGCCUGGCCUUCGAGGACGCUGAGGCACGAAAGCGUGGGGAUCGAACAGGAUUAGAUACCCUGGUAGACCACGCUGUAAACGAUGGACACUCGUUGUCGGCGACAGACAGUCGGCGGCCAAGCGAAAGUGAUAAGUGUCCCACCUGGGGAGUACGGUCGCAAGGCUGAAACUCAAAUGAAUUGACGGGG
This 393-nucleotide ribosomal RNA is filed under the name uncultured bacterium. RNAcentral describes it as "partial 16S ribosomal RNA". It matches the Rfam family "Bacterial small subunit ribosomal RNA", at positions 523 to 918 of the family's 1533-position model. The record is from RNAcentral.